Molecule: ribosomal RNA, 634 nt
Filed under: Klebsiella pneumoniae
Lineage: Bacteria; Pseudomonadati; Pseudomonadota; Gammaproteobacteria; Enterobacterales; Enterobacteriaceae
Also listed under: 3 other names
Description: partial 23S ribosomal RNA
Rfam family: Bacterial large subunit ribosomal RNA
Source: RNAcentral
GUAACGGAGGAGCACGAAGGUUAGCUAAUCCUGGUCGGACAUCAGGAGGUUAGUGCAAUGGCAUAAGCUAGCUUGACUGCGAGCGUGACGGCGCGAGCAGGUGCGAAAGCAGGUCAUAGUGAUCCGGUGGUUCUGAAUGGAAGGGCCAUCGCUCAACGGAUAAAAGGUACUCCGGGGAUAACAGGCUGAUACCGCCCAAGAGUUCAUAUCGACGGCGGUGUUUGGCACCUCGAUGUCGGCUCAUCACAUCCUGGGGCUGAAGUAGGUCCCAAGGGUAUGGCUGUUCGCCAUUUAAAGUGGUACGCGAGCUGGGUUUAGAACGUCGUGAGACAGUUCGGUCCCUAUCUGCCGUGGGCGCUGGAGAAUUGAGGGGGGCUGCUCCUAGUACGAGAGGACCGGAGUGGACGCAUCACUGGUGUUCGGGUUGUCAUGCCAAUGGCACUGCCCGGUAGCUAAAUGCGGAAGAGAUAAGUGCUGAAAGCAUCUAAGCACGAAACUUGCCCCGAGAUGAGUUCUCCCUGAGACUUUAAGUCUCCUGAAGGAACGUUGAAGACGACGACGUUGAUAGGCCGGGUGUGUAAGCGCAGCGAUGCGUUGAGCUAACCGGUACUAAUGAACCGUGAGGCUUAACCUU